Molecule: long non-coding RNA, 717 nt
Organism: Nicrophorus vespilloides
Lineage: Eukaryota; Metazoa; Arthropoda; Insecta; Coleoptera; Silphidae
Exons: 3
Source: RefSeq, a predicted model, not a curated record
GUGGUAUUAAUUAGAGGGAGGGGAGGAGUAGUUACAUGUUAUGCAAAAAUGUAAUAUUAUUAAAAUGAGAGAAGGAUGCGCGAGAUUAUGCAUGAUGAAAAAGAGGAUGUAAUGUAUGCGGCGCUCGGGCAACAAACGUGGAGUAGGCAAUGCCUCCGUUAGGAAACUUCCCAUAAUGAAAUACUCGUUUGAUGACAAAUUGUUGCUAAUCAUGUAUUCGCCUUGUGUGUGUAUACGUCGAAGAAUACGGACGACCAAUUUGUUGUUGAAACAAGAGCAAACAAAAAGUUGCCGGAUGUUUGUUAUUAAGCAGUAAUUACGGACUUGAUUAUUCCUUCGAUCCUUGUCGACAUUAAGCAGCUACACCUAUAUUUUUAGAUAUUAUCGUAACAUUCGUGAAGCUUGUGUACGAGGCUUAGCGACCGGCCACCUGAAGACAUAAACUGGACACAAAGUAAACGUUUUUUUUUCUUCUCUAUUUCUUCCACUCUAUGGGAAACGUGAAUGGAUCGAAGUAUGGGAGUGAGCAGGCUUGAAGUGCUUUUCAAUUGUUAUUUGCUACCGUACGAGUUUUACAAAGGAGUGUGUAAAUAUGCUCAUAUUCCUCGACGUGGACAUGAAAGGAAAUCAAACCACAAGAUGCUUCACAGCAGAUUACGAGAUCCGAUGAUGUCCGAUGAUAAGAUCAGAUAAGGAACUUCCAUAUACAAAUGAAAA